This 556-nucleotide ribosomal RNA is filed under the name uncultured Thelephoraceae. RNAcentral describes it as "eukaryotic LSU rRNA". The stretch from base 123 to 277 matches the Rfam family "5.8S ribosomal RNA". The record is from RNAcentral. Lineage: Eukaryota; Fungi; Basidiomycota; Agaricomycetes; Thelephorales; Thelephoraceae.
GGGUUUGUGAGGAGGAGGGGCUGGGAGGACGGGGGGGGGGGGGGGGGGGUUCUAUACAUUAACACAUAUACACCGAAACAAAUUCUCAUGGAAUGCUUGUCGCGUUCAACGCAAGACAAUACAACUUUCAGCAACGGAUCUCUUGGCUCUCGCAUCGAUGAAGAACGCAGCGAAUUGCGAUAAGUAAUGUGAAUUGCAGAAUUCAGUGAAUCAUCGAAUCUUUGAACGCACCUUGCGCCCUUUGGCCAUUCCGAAGGGCAUGCCUGUUUGAGUAUCAUGAACACCUCAACUCUCAUGGUCCGCCGUGAUGAGCUUGGACUUUGGAGGUCUUGCUGGCCUGUGGCCAGCUCCUCUCAAAUGAAUCAGCUUUCCAGUGUUGGUGGCAUCGCAGGUGGGAUAACUAUCUACGCUUGUGGUGUUCUGCCAGGUGACCCUGGGGCUCAUAAACGUCUCUCCUUGGUGGAGACAGCUUUGUGAACGUUUGAUCUCAAUUCAGGUAGGGCUACCCGCUGAACUUCAGCAUAUCAAUAAGCGGAGGAACCCCCGCUUAUUGAUA